Molecule: long non-coding RNA, 284 nt
Filed under: Ananas comosus (pineapple)
Lineage: Eukaryota; Viridiplantae; Streptophyta; Magnoliopsida; Poales; Bromeliaceae
Description: long non-coding RNA (ACOM_LNC044798)
Source: RNAcentral
ACCACAAAUCUCGAUGCAAUAAAAAUAAAUGCGGAAAAUAAAAAGCACACCGAGAUUUACGUGGGAAAACUCCAACUUGGAGAAAAACCCACGGGACCAACACGCGAAAAAAUAAUUCACUAAGAGAAAAGAUUACAAGGUGAUUACCGACUCCACGGACUUAACCUCUCUUAACCUCCUAUGAAUCUUCGCGCUACCCUCCGGGUUGUCCACGCCCUCACGUCCGAAUCCACGAACGCCUCCACUUCGAAUCCACGAAGCUUCAAUCACGCCGAAUCCACGAC